This 28-nucleotide small RNA is filed under the name Bombyx mori (domestic silkworm). RNAcentral describes it as "ovarian small RNA-6215". Lineage: Eukaryota; Metazoa; Arthropoda; Insecta; Lepidoptera; Bombycidae. The record is from RNAcentral.
UACUUCAUAGAGGCCUCGAGCAUUGAUG